ACGAACGCUGGCGGCGUGCUUAACACAUGCAAGUCGAACGGAAAGGCCCUGCUUUUGUGGGGUGCUCGAGUGGCGAACGGGUGAGUAACACGUGAGUAACCUGCCCUUGACUUUGGGAUAACUUCAGGAAACUGGGGCUAAUCCCGGAUAGGAGCUCCUGCUGCAUGGUGGGGGUUGGAAAGUUUCGGCGGUUGGGGAUGGACUCGCGGCUUAUCAGCUUGUUGGUGGGGUAGUGGCUUACCAAGGCUUUGACGGGUAGCCGGCCUGAGAGGGUGACCGGCCACAUUGGGACUGAGAUACGGCCCAGACUCCUACGGGAGGCAGCAGUGGGGAAUAUUGCACAAUGGGCGGAAGCCUGAUGCAGCAACGCCGCGUGCGGGAUGACGGCCUUCGGGUUGUAAACCGCUUUCGCCUGUGACGAAGCGUGAGUGACGGUAAUGGGUAAAGAAGCACCGGCUAACUACGUG
RNAcentral lists this ribosomal RNA (467 nucleotides) under uncultured bacterium. Its description in RNAcentral is "partial 16S ribosomal RNA". It matches the Rfam family "Bacterial small subunit ribosomal RNA", at positions 29 to 507 of the family's 1533-position model. The record is from RNAcentral.